UAAUGUCUUUUUUCGAAAUAUAAGUGUAUUGACAGGUCUAGCCUCUACUUUGUGAUAUAUUUUCCCCAAAAUGCUUACAAGACCCUAUAAGAUUAAUUUGACAUUCGAGGACGAAUGUUCUAAAGGGGGGGAGGAUGUUAUACCCCGUACAUUUAUAUGACGAAUUAUCCGCAAGAAAAUCGACUCAAGUUAAAGGCGGAAUUAUUUUCGGAUACGAAAUAGAAAUCGUUAAUUUUCAAUUUUAAUUAAAACAUAAAUUGUGUAUGAAUUUUAUUGGUAUAAAGAUAUUAUUGGAGAUUAGGGGUAAAUUAACUAUGAUUAGAUUAUUAAGUGGGAUUAAAAUUUAAAUCACUUCAUUAAUUAAUUAAGCUUAAGGGGCCAUGUGGGCCCCACCCGAAAAAAAAAAAAAAAAAAAAAAGGAAUCAAAAUCUGGAAAUUAACAAAACAAGGUGCAAAAGUGAGUCAUCAAAAGGGGGAAUACGUGUAGCAAUAUGGGAUAUAUAUAUAUUUAAUGGGAUGUAGUGCAAAUGACCAUUUUCAAGUCAUUUGUUGGUACACAAAGCUCAAGAGCAAGAAAAACAAAUGCCCAUGGCUGCUCACGGCUAGAUUGGGGCUUAAAAAAAAAAAAAAAAAAAAAAAAUCAGUUUUGUUGCUUAGUAAAAAUUCUAAGGAGAAGACAAGGAGAUAGAGGUGGAGAAGCAAGAACAAGUAUAAAGAUUUAAGACACAAAUUGGAGCCAAGUAUCCAAGGCGAAAAGAGCAACGAGGCAAAAGGGAUUCACGGAUAAUCGUCGACAGGUACCGACGACAGGUUUGCUGAUCCGUCCGUCUAGGAUAUUUUUCUGCCAUUUGGAGCGCUCUUUUAUUCAGAGCCCAUCUUUUGGUACAGUCUGUCACUACUGUAUUUAUAUAUUCUCGUUCAUGGGUACGGCGGGGCCCUGUCCCGUCAUAUGAUUCUGUCGGUCUGUUUAGAGGUCUGUAGACAUGUUUGUGGGUUGGGGUCUUUCUGUACGGAUGCGUGUAUAUGUUGUGUUUGGGCGAUCCCAUUCACCGCGGCGGCCGGUCCGCAUAUGUUUAAAUGUUGCUUUGUUGGCCCUGGGUGGUCAUUGUUGGUAUUAUCUGUGCGCAGGGUUAAUUUGGAUAGUCUGUAAAACAAAGGAAACUCUGCCGAAAUUUUUCUGGAAAUUAUCUAAAUUUGAAAUAUAGCCUUGUCGGCUUCUGCUAUAUACUUGAAUGCGUUUGAUAAAAAUUUGAGAUAGCAUUUGAUAGAUGUGUUUGG
Molecule: long non-coding RNA, 1278 nt
Organism: Lycium barbarum (goji berry)
Lineage: Eukaryota; Viridiplantae; Streptophyta; Magnoliopsida; Solanales; Solanaceae
Exons: 3
Source: RefSeq, a predicted model, not a curated record